GGUCAGGAAUCUGGGGCCAGAAAAAAAAAAGAAAAAGAAAAAGAAUUUGGUGUGACAGCUUGUCUUUCUCUUUUCGAUUCGCCUUGCAGGAAGAUGUCGUAGUUACAAAUUUUAAAAAGGAUAACGAUAGUUUAGGCUGGGAGUUUUGCUAAAAAUGGUAUGUGUGAGUUUAUUCGUGCGAGAUCAAUUCGUCCACUUUUCGAUGGUGUUGUGAAUUUAUGAUUCCUUGUUACAGUUUUAGGAUAAAGUUCUACCACGCGGCGGGUGGGUGUCGGCCAUCACGAUUUGGUGGCGACAUGGGUGAAACGUGCGUGUUGUUAUGUUGUUGUGAUUAAGAAU
This is a long non-coding RNA of Maniola jurtina (meadow brown), 339 nucleotides long. RefSeq lists it as uncharacterized. NCBI's taxonomy places the organism in Eukaryota, Metazoa, Arthropoda, Insecta, Lepidoptera, Nymphalidae. The record is from RefSeq and is a predicted model, not a curated record. The transcript is spliced from 2 exons.